Molecule: small nucleolar RNA, 109 nt
Filed under: Nannospalax galili (Upper Galilee mountains blind mole rat)
Lineage: Eukaryota; Metazoa; Chordata; Mammalia; Rodentia; Spalacidae
Description: Small nucleolar RNA SNORA3/SNORA45 family (ENSNGAG00000009409.1)
Rfam family: Small nucleolar RNA SNORA3/SNORA45 family
About the family: The members of this family belong to the H/ACA class of snoRNAs which are thought to guide the sites of modification of uridines to pseudouridines. This family includes mouse snoMBI-28 and human homologues ACA3 (SNORA3) and ACA3-2 (SNORA45). Both ACA3 and ACA3-2 share the same host gene.
Source: RNAcentral
AAGAUAGCACUUGUCCUCCUGUGCUAGAGUUCUCAAAGAAGAUCUGCUAGUCUUGGUUCACUGGUUGGGGCAGUCAGUGCCCCUAUUGAAGCCCUGAUCAGAAACAUGU